This 415-nucleotide ribosomal RNA is filed under the name uncultured bacterium. RNAcentral describes it as "bacterial SSU rRNA". It matches the Rfam family "Bacterial small subunit ribosomal RNA", at positions 355 to 794 of the family's 1533-position model. The record is from RNAcentral.
UGGGGAAUAUUGGACAAUGGGCGCAAGCCUGAUCCAGCAAUGCCGCGUGGAUGAAGAAGGUCUUCGGAUUGUAAAGUCCUUUCGGCGGGGACGCGGUACCCGCAGAAGAAGCCCCGGCUAACUUCGUGCCAGCAGCCGCGGUAAUACGAAGGGGGCUAGCGUUGCUCGGAAUUACUGGGCGUAAAGGGCGCGUAGGCGGACGACUUAGUCAGGCGUGAAAGCCCCGGGCUCAACCUGGGAAUUGCGCUUGAGACGGGUUGUCUUGAGGACGAGAGAGGGUGGUGGAAUUCCCAGUGUAGAGGUGAAAUUCGUAGAUAUUGGGAAGAACACCGGUGGCGAAGGCGGCCACCUGGCUCGUUACUGACGCUGAGGCGCGAAAGCGUGGGGAGCAAACAGGAUUAGAUACCCGUGUAGU